This 506-nucleotide ribosomal RNA is filed under the name uncultured bacterium. RNAcentral's name for it is "partial 16S ribosomal RNA". It matches the Rfam family "Bacterial small subunit ribosomal RNA", at positions 29 to 523 of the family's 1533-position model. The record is from RNAcentral.
AGUGAACGCUGGCGGUAGGCCUAACACGUGCAAGUCGAACGGCAGCACAGAGGAGCUUGCUCCUUGGGUGGCGAGUGGCGGACGGGUGAGGAAUACAUCGGAAUCUACUCUGUCGUGGGGGAUAACGUAGGGAAACUUACGCUAACACCGCAUACGACCUACGGGUGAAAGCAGGGGACCUUCGGGCCUUGCGCGAUUGAAUGAGCCGAUGUCGGAUUAGCUAGUUGGCGGGGUAAAGGCCCACCAAGGCGACGAUCCGUAGCUGGUCUGAGAGGAGGAUCAGCCACACUGGAACUGAGACACGGUCCAGACUCCUACGGGAGGCAGCAGUGGGGAAUAUUGGACAAUGGGCGCAAGCCUGAUCCAGCCAUACCGCGUGGGUGAAGAAGGCCUUCGGGUUGUAAAGCCCUUUUGUUGGGAAAGAAAUCCAGCUGGCUAAUACCCGGUUGGGAUGACGGUACCCAAAGAAUAAGCACCGGCUAACUUCGUGCCAGCCGCCGCCGUAA